This 1210-nucleotide long non-coding RNA is filed under the name Homo sapiens (human). RNAcentral describes it as "non-protein coding ARF4-AS1:7". The record is from RNAcentral. Lineage: Eukaryota; Metazoa; Chordata; Mammalia; Primates; Hominidae.
AUUAUGGGUUAGGUGAGGAACCUCGCCCUCUUCUAUUACGGUACGCGCGAUGGGUAUUCCCUGAUGCCAUGAACUUACACGUUUCACACACGGGACCAGACGCUUGCUUUAGUUGACGCAUGAAGACCGGUCCGGUCUUUUGCGGAGAAAAGUGGUUAAAAGCUGACUUGUGGGCCGAGAAACUGUGGCACCCUAAUGAGCUAGGGCUAGACGCUUCGACCACCACGCCAAGUGAUUCUGAAGAUCUCUAAUUCUGUCAAGGCGAGAGCGCUCCAACACGUGUUCAUCGGCUGUUGCUUUUUAAAGAGAAGGCAAGGAGGAAGUCUUGCUUUUCUUGUACUUUUUUUCCUAGAAGCAGCAUUAAAGAUUUACUCCUUAUGUUGAGGAAGCGGAAAGCCUCUUCACUUUAAAAGUGUUUAUGAUCGGGCCUGGCGCGGUGACUCACCGCGCCCGGCCUGCUACACCUUUUAAAAUUCACAGCAAUGAUAAAUGUAUUAGACUCAUUGCCAGGAUAAAGAUUUAAUCUAUUUUUCUAGUAGUGCCGUCCUAUGUGGUUCUGUAGUUGCUUAUUCCAACUGGUAUAUUUCCAUAGGAUGGGGUUGAAUAAGAAAAACUUGCAAACUUUCAGAAACAGUAAGUUAUUUUUAUAUUUUUGAAGGCUUGCUGAGUAACGCUUCUCUUGGUAGCACUACCUUAUCUACCCUUCAGAGACUGUUAUUUCUUAGGAGUGGCCCUGGGCAAUUAAAAGCAAAAACUUCUGGCCGGGCAUAGUGGCUCAUGCCUGUAAUCCCAGCACUUUGGGAGGCCGAGGCGGGCAGAUUACGAGGUCAGGAGAUCGAGACCAUCCUGGCUAACACGGUGAAACCCAGUCUCUACUAAAAAUAGAAUAAAUUAACCGGGCGUGGUGGCGGGUGCCUAUACUCCCAGCUACUCCGGAGGCUGAGGCAGAAGAAUGGCGUGAACCCGGGAGGCGGAGGUUGCAGUGAGCGGAGAUCGCGCCCCUGCACUCCAGCCUGGGCGACAGAGCGAGACUGUCUUAAAAAAACAAACAACAACAACAAAAAAACCCCAAAAACUUCUUUACUCAGAAGUACCCUCCUUUGCAUUGGAGAUACAUGUAAAGAGUUGCUUAGCAGUUGAAUAACUCAAAAUUGCAUUUUGGAAGCUUGCUAAGUGACAAGACCUUCUUAAAUGUUAAAGGCAGUUUUUC